UACAGAGGGUGCGAGCGUUAAUCGGAAUUACUGGGCGUAAAGCGUGCGUAGACGGUUAUUUAAGUCGGGUGUGAAAGCCCCGGGCUCAACCUGGGAAUUGCAUUCGAGACUGAAUAGCUAGGGUACGGUAGAGGGAAGUGGAAUUUCCGGUGUAGCGGUGGAAUGCGUAGAGAUCGGGAAGAACAUCGGUGGCGAAGGCGGCCUGCUGGGCUGUUGCUGACGCUGAGGCGCGACAGCGUGGGGAGCAAACAGG
Molecule: ribosomal RNA, 253 nt
Filed under: uncultured bacterium
Lineage: Bacteria
Description: partial 16S ribosomal RNA
Rfam family: Bacterial small subunit ribosomal RNA
Source: RNAcentral